This 397-nucleotide ribosomal RNA is filed under the name uncultured bacterium. RNAcentral's name for it is "partial 16S ribosomal RNA". It matches the Rfam family "Bacterial small subunit ribosomal RNA", at positions 523 to 918 of the family's 1533-position model. The record is from RNAcentral.
AUACGUAGGGGGCGAGCGUUGUCCGGAAUGAUUGGGCGUAAAGGGCGCGUAGGCGGCCGCUUAAGUCUGGAGUGAAAGUCCUGUUUUCAAGAUGGGAAUUGCUUUGGAUACUGGGGGGCUUGAGUGCAGGAGAGGUUAUCGGAAUUCCCGGUGUAGCGGUGAAAUGCGUAGAGAUCGGGAGGAACACCAGUGGCGAAGGCGGGUAACUGGACUGCAACUGACGCUGAGGCGCGAAAGUGUGGGGAGCAAACAGGAUUAGAUACCCUGGUAGUCCACACUGUAAACGAUGAAUGCUAGGCGUAAGAGGUAUCGACCCCUUUUGUGCCGGAGUCAACACAAUAAGCAUUCCGCCUGGGGAGUACGGCCGCAAGGUUGAAACUCAAAUGAAUGGACGGGG